ACUUCUUGAGGCUGAGUAGCUAGAUGAAACUUAAGCUUCUCAGCUGCACUCCUUAGUUUCCCACCAAUGGAAAUGAAAGCUUGAGGAGAUGUGUGAGGGCUCUGGAAACAUCCCUGGAGAAAGCCAACUCUACUGGAGCUUUACUGGUGAAUGUGUUGGAGCUGGGUAUUCAGACUAUGCUGGACUACAGCAGAAGUUUCCAGGACCUAGAAGUAUAUGAAGUAUUAAUAACAUCUUUCACCACUGGAAAUUGAUGGAAAGCAUGUGAUUUUGGCAUUCAUGGAACUGCGUACAUUUCGUUUAAAAAAGAGAGAUUUGGACAGGAAGACGUGUCUAAUUCAACUCCUG
Molecule: long non-coding RNA, 348 nt
Organism: Athene cunicularia (burrowing owl)
Lineage: Eukaryota; Metazoa; Chordata; Aves; Strigiformes; Strigidae
Exons: 3
Source: RefSeq, a predicted model, not a curated record